Daucus carota subsp. sativus is the source of this 5479-nucleotide RNA transcript. RefSeq lists it as hypothetical. The transcript has 10 exons. Lineage: Eukaryota; Viridiplantae; Streptophyta; Magnoliopsida; Apiales; Apiaceae. The record is from RefSeq and is a predicted model, not a curated record.
GUCAAAUUGUAAGCAGUUCUAUUUUUUUUUCUGAAUAUUGACUGAGUAAUCCGUCCCUCCCUGAUUUCAUAACCAGUUUUCCCCAAUUUUUCAGUCAGUAUUGUUCAAAUCAAGAAGCUGUAAUUGCAAAAGAAUCUCAUCACAAAAUGGAGACCAAAGCAUCUGAAGCAGAAUCACAAGUCUCAGCAGCAACUGCAGUACUACUUGGCGCCUUGGCUCCUGGUGUUAAUGGUCAAACUUGGAAUACGCUAAAAGUUGCAUUCUUGAUGUUGGGUCUGUGCCUUACUGCAAUGUUGGCUUUAGCAUUUUCUGCAAGUGAUUUAUCAUUGAUUAUUCAUGUCACUUUUCUUGUUCUUAUUACUGGGAUCCUCUUCUUUCUUUUAACCAGCUUUCUUUCACAAACUGGCCUAGUUUCAGUCGAAAAUCAAAUGAAGGAAAUGGGCUUAGCUCCUGAAAUUUCUAUAAGCAAAAGUGAAUAGAACAAGCGUGGAAGACUUCUCUUUUAUUGUAAAAUUUUAAUAUGAGUUGACCAUUACAGUCUAAAGAUUAUAGAAGCAAACAACUCUAGAUGGGAUUACAAUUACAGUCUUGAUGCCGUUUCAGAUGAAAAGAGAUAAACAAGAUUUAGAAUCUUUAGCACUGUGUCACAGUUCUGCUCGUCUUCUCAUAAAAAAAAAAGAGAAGCAAUUUAAUAUUUCAAUCCCCUGGCCUCCUUGUUUGGUUUCCUGCCCUUGUAUUUAUGAUGCAGUAACAAGAGGAGCAAGAUAAAAAGAUGCUCAGCUUGUUUGUGUGGAUGAUCAGUGCCACUAGUGUUAAAAACAAAAUCAAAAGUGAUGAGCGGAUGAAAUUAGAAGAACUGUGAAAAUGAGAAGGGUCACCUGCAUAUUCCACGGAGACUGAAACAGAAUGGGACUGAAACAGGAAUGGGGCGAGUGAUGCUAAUUCAAAAAUUACCAACUGCUUCUCAGCUUUUCAAGGCUUUCUUCAGCAAGAGGACCCUCAAUUCUAGGCCUCUGUUUUUCUCGUCUCUCAAUUGUGAAGACUAUUUGAUUGAAGAUAAUGGCAUCUGGGGAUUCUAAAAAGAUGCUGAACCACUGCAUAUACAAUUAUAUGAAAGAAAAGGGACUUCACGUUGCUGCUGACGUAUUCGCUGUAGAAGCCAACCUUGACUUGGGUGAAUUACUGGAUUCGGACAAAGACAUGCUAAAGGAUUGGUGGAGGCUAUUCUGGCCUCAAUUCUCCUCCAGACUAGCAAACAAAGCUAGAGGAAACUCACGACCCUCCGUACAGCCUUCCAUGGAUGAUGUUAUAGCGAUGCUAGCUUCAUCAGAAAAGCAAGGGGCUAUUGGUUCCCAACAAGCUCUAGGUGGGAAUCCACCACAAAAUGUGAUUCCCAUUCCUGUGACUAACCAGCUGAUGAUUGCUAAUAGCGGUCCAGCUAUGGACAAUUUUAUGGAAAACCCACCAGUGAGUUCUAGGGCUGUUAUUCGGUCCGGGCGAGCCGAGCAUAAUUCGAGCCGAGUUUUAUCUAGUCGAGCCGAGCCGGCUCGUUUAAGAAAACGGGCCUAAAUCUUUGCCCGAACUCGACUCGUUUAUUUUCACGAGUCGAGUCGAGCUAGCUCGUUUAGCUAAACGAGCCGAGUUUAACGAGUCGGGCGAGCCGACUCGUUUAAUUUAACACUAAAUCGAGCCUAAAAUGCUACCCGAAUCCGACUCGUUAAUUUUCACGAGUCGAGCCGAGCCAGCUCGUUUAACAAAACGAGCCAAAACCUCUGCCCGAACUCGAGCUCGAUUAACUAAACGAGCCGAGCCGAGCCCAUCAAAACGAGUUCGAGCCGGGCGAGCUCGCGAGCUGCCCGGAUCGGAUUACAGCACUAGUGAGUUCGUUGCUAACUCCUCCUAUGACUAGCCUACACAGAGCUGGUAAGCAUCCUGUGGAUACUGACACUGUUGGUAUUCUCGGGAGACCGUCUGCGCCUUUCGGUAAUCCCAGGUAGUCUACUUAUGUGUGAUUGUAAUUUAUGUUUAUAUAGCGAAGCGAAAUUGUAUGUUACAUAUUUGAAUUAAGGUGAAUCUUUUUUAUAUUACAGCUAAUACAUUAUACUCAAUACUUCUUGUAACCUAUAUUAUUAAUUAUAUUGUAUUCUUAUUUUGAGAUUUAGUUGCGGAUCUGAUAGGCUGAUAGCAUGGCUUUUAUUUGUACAAAUGAAUUGCACCUUAAUGAUUUCAAUUUGACCAUUGACGUCAUCAUUUGGCAUGAAGGGACUAUAAUUGAAGAAUCUGGAAAAUGUAUUCCAAAUUUGAAUGUACAUUAUCUAUAUAUUCCUUUGGAACUUACAGAUAACAAUUUCUGAUCUUUUUGUGUCACAGCAACCAACAUUUUCCAGUUACUAUUCAGUCUCCAAUGCAAGUUACCGAGGUAUAUAUACACUAAAAUAAAAACCCUUUGGGCAACAUUUUGUAAAAGCUGCAUGGAGAUUGUGAUUCUUUUAUUCUUCUGCAGGGUCCUAGAAAUGAUGUGGUUGCUGAAAGGUCUGAUCAAAUUGAAUCAAAUCGGCUUGGACAGAAUUCAACGUAUCCACCAUCAUGAUUUCAUAGGGGGUUAUCUAAGUUGUUGAGAAAAUAGUUUUGAAGGUAAAUCCAUUAGCCGCAAUCUUGUUUUAUCAAACUAUAUAGCGGUUAUUAGUACUCCAGAGUCAAAUACAACUCAUUUUCACAAUUUGGUAUUUUGCUUGUGGUUUUCGCACUAUGUUAAAUCUUAAAAUAUUUGGUGGUAGCAGUAGAUUUUUUUUCUAGUUUACUAUUUAUUUAAAUGCAAGAAUUAUGUAUGUUACUAAUUGCAUAUCUUUUAUUUGCUAUAAGUAUUUACUAUAGUUGUAUUAAAGAGUUGCAAUUAGUAACAUACUAUACUAUAGUAAAUACUUAUAGCAAAUACUUAUAGCAAAUAAAAGAUAUGCAAUUAGUAACAUAAUUCUUGCAUUUAAAUGAAUAGUAAACUAGAAAAAAAAUCUACUACUACCACUAAAUAUUUUAAUAUUUAACAUAGUGCGGAAACCACAAGUAAAAUACCAAAUUGUGAAAAUGAGUUGUAUUUGACUCUGGGGUACUAAUAACCGCUAUAUAGUUUGAUAAAACAAGAUUGCGACUAACGGAUUUACCUUCAAAACUAUUUCCUCAACAACUUAGACAACCCCCCAUGAAAUCAUGAUGGUGGAUACGCUGAAUUCUGUCCAAGCCGAUUUGAUUCAAUUUGAUCAGACCUUUCAGCAACCACAUCAUUUCUAGGACCCUGCACAAGAAUAAAAGAGUCACAAUCUCCAUUCAGCUUUCACAAAAUGUUACCCAAAGGGUUUUUAUUUUAGUGUAUAUAUUCCUCGGCAACUUGCAUUGGAGACUGAAUAGUAACUGGAAAAUGUUGGUUGCUGUGACACAGAAAGAUCAGAAAUUGUUAUCUGUAAGUUCCAAAGGAAUAUAUAGAUAAUGUCCAUUCAAAUUUGGAAUACAUUUUCCAGAUUCUUCAAUUAUAGUCCCUUCAUGCCAAAUGAUGACGUCACUGGUCAAAUUGAAAUCAUUAAGGUGCAAUUCAUUUGUACAAAUAAAAGCCAUGCUAUCAGCCUAUCAGGUCCGCAACUAAAUCUCAAAAUAAGAAUACAAUAUAAUUAAUUAUAUAGGUUACGAGAAGUAUUGAGUAUAAUCUAUUAGCUGCAAUAUAAAAAAAAUUUACCUUAAUUCAAAUAUGUAACAUACAAUUUCGCUUCGCUAUAUAAACAGAAAUUACAAUCACACAUAAGUAAACUACGUGGGAUUACCGAAAGGCGCAGACGGUCUCCCGAGAAUACCAACAGUGUCAGUAUCCACAGGAUGCUUACCAGCUCUAUGUAGGCUAGUCAUAGGAGGAGUUAGCAACGAACUCACUGGUGGGUUUUCCAUAAAAUUGUCCAUAGCUGGACCGCUAUUAGCAAUCAUCAGCUGGUUAGUUAGUCACAGGAAUGGGAAUCACAUUUUGUGGUGGAUUCCCACGUAGAGCUUGUCUGGAACCAAUAGCCCCUUGCUUUUCUGAUGAAGCUAGCAUCGCUAUAACAUCAUCCAUGGAAGGCUGAGAAUCAAUUUAAUAAAAUUUAGGGAUAUUAUACAGACAUAUUAUUAAGAUGUUAAACUAAGAUAUUAUUUGAAGUUAAUCAAACAGUAAAGAUAAAUUGUUGCUAUAAUAUGCAUUAAUAAAUUGUAUACGUUUUUGACAUUUGGAGCGGUGAACAUUCUAUACCCUUUAUAAAAAGCAUUAAUGCUUUAUAAAAUAGCGUAAUCCCGUCUAUUGGUUUAGUUUAGGCCAUUUAUCUUGUUUACCUAUGGUAUGAGAUAUGUUGGUACAGUUUGUAGGAAAUCCACAAUGGCACCUGAACGGUCUCUAUUGGCCAUUACAUUGUUUUUUAUUCUUAGACUCGGUUCAAUAUAUACAGUGUUGCUGUAAUGCUAAUAAAAUAGUUGGGCUCAUUUCAGAUAUCAAGUAUUUUGUCGUUUUUUUGUAUAUCAUUAAGAACGAUUUAGUCCAUACAAAUUUCGUGAGUUUACAAGUGUCUAAGGUGCUUAAUUGUCAAUAUGAAACUCGGGGAAGAUCACAACUUUCCUCCUCAUGACUCGCAAAAUGCGCUAGUAACUGCCGGUUAGGCUGGGACCCCACUCUGUUAUGGAUGUUCGUUAUGGUAAUAAGGAAUACCGGUAACAAUAUUUUUUAGUGGAAGUAGUAGGGAAAAUUGCUAGCCCCGUAUCUCUUUGCUACAAAAUUCAAUGUAUAGUCCAUAGGGAUUCAUGAGAGUGCCCAUGGUUUAUGAACUAGUAGGAUGCGACAUUGAAUGUGCAAGGCUUGCACAUUAGCAGCUAGUCAGCUAAAUACAUUUGCUGCAAAUUCAGCAUGGUGCGCAAUGUUGAUGAGAUACAAGUCAACAUUAGUGAGUAAAAGGUACUCUAAAGGGACAUCAAAUGUUUUACGAAUUUAGCUAUCAAAAGGGUUAGAUCAACAAUGUCACACGUAUGAAGGCAGUGGGCAUGAACAAUUAUAAGGUAUACUGUACUAUUCUAUUAAGUAUUUUGAUUAAUAUAUUAAGAAAAAGGAUUAGGCCCAUAUUUAUGUUGUAACACUAAUUGUUUAGAAGCUAAAAGUUUCACCGGUGUUUGUAUUGCAGCACUAAUCCAAUAUUCUUUGUCACACUUUUAAAUAUAUCAUUUUCUAAAUUUCAUCUAAGUGCUUCUGUGCUCUCUCUGGAUGCAAAGUUAAAAACCGUCUUGAUUUUGGACCGUAAACCCCUGCGCUGGAAAUUUCUUCAAUUUAUGCUUAAAUACUACUUUUUUUCGUUAUUUUCUCGGGUCCUGUGCUUUCUUAUUCUGUACCUCUAUGGAUUGUUUUAAUUAAGGGAGAUGUCUUUUGGAAAAGGCUGGGAUGAAAGGACAUGGACUUUGGGAAUAGCUGGGAUCAUGGAAAAAU